Molecule: long non-coding RNA, 797 nt
Organism: Zonotrichia leucophrys gambelii
Lineage: Eukaryota; Metazoa; Chordata; Aves; Passeriformes; Passerellidae
Exons: 3
Source: RefSeq, a predicted model, not a curated record
CCCGCGCAGCCCCCGCGCUGCCCCUCCGGCACGGCUCGGCUCGGCUCGGCACGGCCCGGCGGAGCGGAGCGGGAGCGGCGGCACUGGAGCCCCGCCGGGAGGGCGCAGCCGCCGGCCGUGUGCGCCUCGGGGCUGCGCGCCCCGCGUCUCGCCGCUCCCGCAGCUACGCUACAGCAGCUCUGAACUCGCAGGUCCGGCUUCUCUCAAACAAUACCGAGGUUUUCAUCUCGCUCUACAUAACCUAUGGGACGUAAAUGCUUUUAAUUUAGGAUAGUGUCAUUUUUGCUUAUUUCACCAUUGAGGGUGCAAAUCCUGAAGCUGCAGAAAAGCAUCCUCACUUCUGCACCAGGACUUCUCCCCAAGAACGCCUCCUGUUUUACUCCACAUUGGUGUCAAAUAAACCAGUGUAUGUUGCAUGGACAGCUGUGAUUGUGCUUCAGAGCCUUAUAGCAAACUAGGAAGAGAGUAGAUCACACAGGAUUACCUGUGAGUUUUCCCAUUCUUAGGGAAUAUAUGUGGUGCUGUCUUGUGAAUGCGAGCUCGAGCUGCAGCUUUACUGUAGACAGACCAUGCAGAUGGUUUCUUCUCCCCUUCUCCUGGCAUCUGCUUCCACAAAAUUCAUAGAAAGACAAACAUAUUUAAGACUUUCAUUCCUCUUUCAGAUUUGUUUUUAUUAAUCAGUUGGGCCAGAGCUUAUGGAUGGAGAGGGAAAGAAGUGAGGGAAAGUCACUAACAUGGUCACAGAAGACUUUGUUCCUUAGGAAAUUAGUAAAAAAACCUGCACAUGAAAGUGCAGA